This 467-nucleotide ribosomal RNA is filed under the name uncultured bacterium. Its description in RNAcentral is "partial 16S ribosomal RNA". It matches the Rfam family "Bacterial small subunit ribosomal RNA", at positions 28 to 507 of the family's 1533-position model. The record is from RNAcentral.
GACGAACGCUGGCGGCGUGCUUAACACAUGCAAGUCGAACGGAAAGGCCCUGCUUUUGUGGGGUGCUCGAGUGGCGAACGGGUGAGUAACACGUGAGUAACCUGCCCUUGACUUUGGGAUAACUUCAGGAAACUGGGGCUAAUACCGGAUAGGAGCUCCUGCUGCAUGGUGGGGGUUGGAAAGUUUAGGCGGUUGGGGAUGGACUCGCGGCUUAUCAGCUUGUUGGUGGGGUAGUGGAUUACCAGGGCUUUGACGGGUCGCCGGACUGAGAGGGUGACGGGCAAAGUGGGGUCUGAGAGACGCCCCAGUCUCAACGGGAGGCAGCAGUGGGGAAUAUUGCACAAUGGGAGGAAGCCUGAUGCAGCAACGCCGCGUGCGGGAUGACGGCCUUCGGGUUGUAAACCGCUUGCGCCUGUGACGAAGCGUGAGUGACGGUAAUGGGUAAAGAAGCACCGGCUAACUACGUG